AAAAUAAUGUGGCUCAAGAAUACUGUUCCAUCAAGUAGCCAAAGAGUAAACUUGGGAUCAUAGUACUGAUCUAGUGUUGUCUUUUCAGACAUAACUAACACUGACCAGCCUCCAAAUCCCCACACAUGA
This is a small nucleolar RNA of Suncus etruscus (white-toothed pygmy shrew), 129 nucleotides long. RefSeq annotates it as small nucleolar RNA SNORA23. The transcript has a single exon. The record is from RefSeq and is a predicted model, not a curated record. NCBI's taxonomy places the organism in Eukaryota, Metazoa, Chordata, Mammalia, Eulipotyphla, Soricidae.